UGGGGAAUCUUGCGCAAUGGGCGAAAGCCUGACGCAGCAACGCCGCGUGAGUGAAGAAGGCCUUUGGGUUGUAAAGCUCUUUCGACUGGGAAGAAGGGAUUCGUUGCGAAUAGUUACGGAUUCUGACGGUACCAGGAGAAGAAGCCCCGGCUAACUUCGUGCCAGCAGCCGCGGUAAUACGAAGGGGGCGAGCGUUGUUCGGAAUCAUUGGGCGUAAAGGGCGCGUAGGCGGGUUUGUAAGUCGAUUGUGAAAUCCCUAGGCUUAACCUGGGAAUUGCAGUCGAAACUGCAAGUCUUGAGUUCUCGAGAGGAUGGUGGAAUUCCUGGAGUAGUAGUGAAAUACGUAGAUAUCAGGAGGAACACCGGAGGCGAAGGCGGCCAUCUGGCGAGACACUGACGCUAAGGCGCGAAAGCGUGGGUAGCAAACAGG
RNAcentral lists this ribosomal RNA (430 nucleotides) under uncultured bacterium. Its description in RNAcentral is "bacterial SSU rRNA". It matches the Rfam family "Bacterial small subunit ribosomal RNA", at positions 355 to 776 of the family's 1533-position model. The record is from RNAcentral.